UGGCUACAGAACGAACGCUGGCGGCGCGCUUAAGCAUGCAAGUCGAACGGCAAGAGGUAGCAAUACCUCCUAGAGUGGCGGACUGGUGAGUAACACGUGGGUGACAUACCCUUCAGAUGGGGAUAGCUAUUAGAAAUAGUAGAUAAUACCGAAUACGAGCACAGGGGUUAGAGAUCUGUGAGGAAAGGAGCUAAGGCUCCGCUGAAGGAAUGGCCUGCGGCCCAUUAGCUAGUUGGUGAGGUAAGAGCCCACCAAGGCGAUGAUGGGUAUCCGGCCUUAGAGGGUGAACGGACACAUUGGGACUGAGAUACGGCCCAGACUCCUACGGGAGGCAGCAGCUAAGAAUAUUCCGCAAUGGACGAAAGUCUGACGGAGCGACGCCGCGUGGAUGAAGAAGGCCGGAAGGUUGUAAAAUCCUUUUGAAACUGAAGAAUAAGCGUUGUAGGGAAUGACAGCGUGGUGACAGUUAGGUUUUGAAUAAGCAACGGCUAAUUACGUGCCAGCCGCCGC
This 510-nucleotide ribosomal RNA is filed under the name uncultured bacterium. Its description in RNAcentral is "bacterial SSU rRNA". It matches the Rfam family "Bacterial small subunit ribosomal RNA", at positions 26 to 518 of the family's 1533-position model. The record is from RNAcentral.